This 468-nucleotide ribosomal RNA is filed under the name uncultured bacterium. RNAcentral describes it as "partial 16S ribosomal RNA". It matches the Rfam family "Bacterial small subunit ribosomal RNA", at positions 28 to 507 of the family's 1533-position model. The record is from RNAcentral.
GACGAACGCUGGCGGCGUGCUUAACACAUGCAAGUCGAACGGAAAGGCCCUGCUUUUGUGGGGUGCUCGAGUGGCGAACGGGUGAGUAACACGUGAGUAACCUGCCCUUGACUUUGGGAUAACUUCUGGAAACUGGGGCUAAUACCGGAUAGGAGCUCCUGCUGCAUGGUGGGGGUUGGAAAGUUUCGGCGGUUGGGGAUGGACUCGCGGCUUAUCAGCUUGUUGGUGGGGUAGUGGCUUACCAAGGCUUUGACGGGUAGCCGGCCUGAGAGGGUGACCGGCCACAUUGGGACUGAGAUACGGAGCAGACUCCUACGGGAGGCAGCAGUGGGGAAUAUUGCACAAUGGGCGGAAGCCUGAUGCAGCAACGCCGCGUGCGGGAUGACGGCCUUCGGGUUGUAAACCGCUUUCGCCUGUAACGAAGCGUGAGUGACGGUAAUGGGUAAAGAAGCACCGGCUAACUACGUG